This 393-nucleotide ribosomal RNA is filed under the name uncultured bacterium. Its description in RNAcentral is "bacterial SSU rRNA". It matches the Rfam family "Bacterial small subunit ribosomal RNA", at positions 28 to 421 of the family's 1533-position model. The record is from RNAcentral.
GACGAACGCUGGCGGCGUGCUUAACACAUGCAAGUCGAGCGGUAAGGCCUUUCGGGGGUACACGAGCGGCGAACGGGUGAGUAACACGUGGGUGACCUGCCCUCAGCUCUGGGAUAAGCCUGGGAAACCGGGUCUAAUACCGGAUAUGACUCCAUGACGCAUGUUGUGGGGUGGAAAGCCUUGUGCGGCUGAGGAUGGGCCCGCGGCCUAUCAGCUUGUUGGUGGGGUGAUGGCCUACCAAGGCGACGACGGGUAGCCGGCCUGAGAGGGCGACCGGCCACACUGGGACUGAGACACGGCCCAGACUCCUACGGGAGGCAGCAGUGGGGAAUCUUGCGCAAUGGGCGAAAGCCUGACGCAGCGACGCCGCGUGAGGGAUGACGGCCUGUGUAG